RNAcentral lists this ribosomal RNA (335 nucleotides) under uncultured fungus. Its description in RNAcentral is "eukaryotic LSU rRNA". The record is from RNAcentral. Lineage: Eukaryota; Fungi.
AACGCACAUUGCACUCUCUGGUAUUCCGGAGAGUAUGCUUGUUUGAGUAUCUGUAAACAUCUCAAAUCUCUUUGCGCUUGCGCAUAAGAGGGUUGGAUUUGAGCGAUCCCGACUCUUUUGAAAGAAAGAGGAGGGUCGCUUGAAAUGCAGGUGCAGCUGGACAUUCUUCUGAGCUAAAAGCAUAUCUAUUUAGUCCCGUCAAACGGAUUAUUACUUUUGCUUCAGCUAAUACAAAGGUCGAAUGAACUACCAACGCUGAUUGCAGGAAAACUCGUUUCUUUAUUGAAACUUGUAAACUCGAUCUCAAAUCAAGUAAGACUACCCGCUGAACUUAA